CUUACACAUGCAAGUCGAGGGGCAGCGCGGAUGUAGCAAUACAUCUGGCGGCGACCGGCGGAAGGGUGCGUAACGCGUGAGCAACAUUCCCGCAUCUGGGGGAUAAGCACUGGAAACGGUGUCUAAUACCCCAUAACAACAGGGUUCACAUGAACCUUGUUUGAAAGCUGCGACGGAUGCGGAUUGGCUCGCGUGACAUUAGCUAGUCGGCGGGGUAACGGCCCACCGAGGCGACGAUGUCUAGGGGUUCUGAGAGGAAGGUCCCCCACACUGGAACUGAGACACGGUCCAGACUCCUACGGGAGGCAGCAGUGAGGAAUAUUGGUCAAUGGGCGGAAGCCUGAACCAGCCAUGCCGCGUGAAGGAAUAAGGCCCUAUGGGUCGUAAACUUCUUUUGUGGUGGAGCAAUAAGGGCUACGCGUAGUCCGAUGAGAGUACAUCACGAAUAAGCAUCGGCUAACUCCGUGCCAGCAGCCGCGGUAAUACGGAGGAUGCAAGCGUUAUCCGGAUUUAUUGGGUUUAAAGGGUGCGUAGGCUGUGCCGCAAGUCGGGGGUGAAAGCCCGGGGCCCAACCCCGGAACUGCCCUUGAUACUGCGGCGCUGGAGUUCGGAUGCCGUGGGAGGAAUGAGUAGUGUAGCGGUGAAAUGCAUAGAUAUUACUCAGAACACCGAUUGCGAAGGCAUCUCACGAAUCCGACACUGACGCUGAGGCACGAAAGCGUGGGGAUCAAACAGGAUUAGAUACCCUGGUAGUCCACGCAGUAAACGAUGAUGACUAACUGUCGGCGAUAAACAGUCGGUGGCCAAGCGAA
RNAcentral lists this ribosomal RNA (812 nucleotides) under uncultured bacterium. RNAcentral describes it as "bacterial SSU rRNA". It matches the Rfam family "Bacterial small subunit ribosomal RNA", at positions 48 to 855 of the family's 1533-position model. The record is from RNAcentral.